GUCUUACCAGACAUGGUUAGAUGUAAUAACUUGUGUCUAAUACUGUCUGGUAAUGCCGU
Molecule: microRNA precursor, 59 nt
Filed under: Danio rerio (zebrafish)
Lineage: Eukaryota; Metazoa; Chordata; Actinopteri; Cypriniformes; Danionidae
Description: Dre-Mir-8-P3a_pre stem-loop
Rfam family: mir-8/mir-141/mir-200 microRNA precursor family
About the family: The bounds of the precursors are predicted based on conservation and base pairing and are not generally known.
Source: RNAcentral